This 474-nucleotide ribosomal RNA is filed under the name uncultured bacterium. Its description in RNAcentral is "bacterial SSU rRNA". It matches the Rfam family "Bacterial small subunit ribosomal RNA", at positions 28 to 507 of the family's 1533-position model. The record is from RNAcentral.
GAUGAACGCUAGCGGCAGGCCUAACACAUGCAAGUCGAGCGGGGUUGAGGCGAGAGGUAACUCGAACUUCUACCUAGCGGCGGACGGGUGAGUAACGCGUGGGCAACCUGCCUCAAGGUUUGGGAUAACAGCCCGAAAGGGCUGCUAAUACCGGAUAUGCCUGUGGCCUCGCAUGGGGCUAUGAGCAAAGGGGAAACCCGCCUUGAGAUGGGCCCGCGUCCCAUCAGCUAGUUGGUGAGGUGAAGGCUCACCAAGGCGACGACGGGUAGCCGGCCUGAGAGGGUGACCGGCCACACUGGGACUGAGACACGGCCCAGACUCCUACGGGGGGCAGCAGUGGGGGAUCUUGCACAAUGGGCGAAAGCCUGAUGCAGCGACGCCGCGUGAGCGAAGAAGGCCUUCGGUUGUAAAGCUCUGUCUGAGGGACGAAGGAAGUGACGGUACCUCCGGAGGAAGCCACGGCGUAACUACGUG